CAUUCUUCUUUAAUCAUUUUAAAUUGUUGAAUUUCAGAUUUUAGUGAUAAACGUGAAUAACACUGAAAUUCUGUAAUAUCGAGAAUGUAGAGUAAUCUAGUAUUAUUCCAAAAUUUGUAGUAAUUACUCUUUCUAAUCCUUUACGAACAAGUUAUGCUUUCUCUUAAUCUUAGAGAAAAUGUAUAGAAAUAUUAAUCAGAAGAUGAUUCAUUUGAAGCUCAAUUUCUUUCAAAAGCAUUUACAUUUUCUUUCUUUUAGAGUCAUUUGAGUGAACUGAAAUAUUUCUAGUUUUAAGAUCAUUCACUCUAUUGAUGGAAGUCUUUAAUAAUGUAGGAGAGAAAAACAUAUAGAUGAUCAUUGAAGUAUAUCUAUUUAUAGAACUCAAUUUCUUAAUUAUAGUUUUUCUGCAAUGGAUACAUGAAGCAUAAUAAAUCUUUUUAAUAUCAAAAUAAACUCAUAUAUUUAAAAAUAUUUGUUUGCAAUUAAGAUCAUUGAAAGACACAUCAUUUAGACCAAUAUUAGUAUACUUUGAAGAUAAGAAAUGAUAUGUUUCGGAUGCGUAUCGGAGCAAUCAACCAAGGCAUCA
This 586-nucleotide long non-coding RNA is filed under the name Phoenix dactylifera (date palm). RNAcentral's name for it is "long non-coding RNA (PDAC_LNC021128)". The record is from RNAcentral. Lineage: Eukaryota; Viridiplantae; Streptophyta; Magnoliopsida; Arecales; Arecaceae.